This is a non-coding RNA of Lentinus tigrinus ALCF2SS1-7, 83 nucleotides long. The record is from the annotation of a GenBank genome assembly. Lineage: Eukaryota; Fungi; Basidiomycota; Agaricomycetes; Polyporales; Polyporaceae.
GGCCUGGUGGUCUAGUAGUAUGAUUCCUUCUUAGGGUUGUCCCAGAAUGGAGGAGGUCCCGGGUUCAAUUCCCGGCCAGGCCC